Molecule: ribosomal RNA, 92 nt
Filed under: Chloroflexota bacterium
Lineage: Bacteria; Bacillati; Chloroflexota
Description: Chloroflexi bacterium partial 16S ribosomal RNA
Rfam family: Bacterial small subunit ribosomal RNA
Source: RNAcentral
CGGGGACGCGCGUCGUGAGGGUGGGGCUGAUGAUGGGGGUGAAGUCGUAACAAGGUAGCCGUAGCGGAAGCUGCGGCUGGAUCACCUCCUUU